UAGUGUGCUAUUAAUGUUAAACUCAAUUUUAAUAAAACCUUGUAGACAUAGUUACCCGAUUUUAAUGUUUGACGAUGAGGUAAGAUUUUCAUAGACUCUUUUUAACUCUUUAUAAUUUUUGUUAAAGAACAGGUUAAUGCUUUAAGAGAAACCCGUUGUGCUUUUAUUUUAAUGCCUAAUUUACAGAAAAGCUGGAUGACACCCCUUCAAUCUUUAGCCAAAAUGUUUACAUACAGAAUUUCCUUUACAAUUAACCUUUCGAAACUUGCUUAAACCUUCAAAAACAAUUCUUUAAACUUUUAACAUAGGUUAAAAAUCCACGUUCUUAUGCCUACCAAAAUACACUUUUUACCAAAAGUGUAUUUUAUUUUCCUUAUGCACCCCUUGCACAUAAACUGUCUCUUUAAUAGUUUUAAAUACAUGUUGCACUGUUAAUUUUUAGCAACCUUUACCUUUGUUGAGAACCCUGGUAAGUGGGAUUUUAAUGAUGUGCUAGGUGUAGAGCCUAGGACCUAGACAGAAAUGCAGAUAAGGUCUGGCUUAGCCCAGCAUUUAACUCCAUGUGUCCUAGAUUUUCCCUAGCUGCAAAGCAGGCAAAUUGUACAGCCAAGAGUUCUAGCGACAUUUCAUAAAGCACUCGGGAGGCCUACUUACUUUUAAAUUAUACAUUUCUUGCCUAAAUUCCAGGUUACUGGGUGUUCUGACCCCAGACUCGACGUAGGGGUUAUGGGGGUGUAGGUGUGCCGACCUCGUCCCAGACUAUUGGGCAUUGGUGGCGAGUCCGCGGACACUGCGCAUGCGCGAGUCGGAAGCUGCCGCCCGCGGCGGAAGGGGCCGACCCGGGAGACUGAGGACUUGGAUUGCUUAAGGACACCAGGCGGGCGCGACGACCUUCAGCCUCUCUCUUUGCAGCUUUGGCCCGUUCCUUUAACUUUUGUUCACUUGGGGCCGUUUGGCUUUUCCAUGUGUCUUGGGCCCGCCCACUGCAGCCGCCAUCUUGGAAACGGCCGCUGGCGCCUAGCUGAGCUGGUAGGACUUCCGGGUCGGGCCUCCAGUUGCCCGGGUAACGGGAGCAAAGUCUCGCUGAAUUGUGUUUCAGAAAGAAGAAACGACAGUUUUAGCAUGCAGAAAGGAAAAGGGAGAACAAGCCGGAUCAGAAGACGAAAACUCUGCAGAAGUUCUGAACCAAGAGGAGUGAAUGAGAGCCACAAGUCUGAAUUUAUAGAGCUAAGGAAGUGGCUGAAAGCUAGGAAGUUUCAAGAUUCAAACUUAGCGCCUGCUUGUUUUCCAGGUACAGGAAGAGGGCUGAUGAGCCAAACAUCCUUGCAGGAGGGACAGAUGAUUAUUUCGUUGCCUGAGAGUUGCCUGCUCACCACGGACACAGUGAUUCGAAGCUACUUAGGGGCAUACAUUACUAAGUGGAAGCCGCCUCCGUCUCCUCUGCUGGCGCUGUGUACCUUUUUAGUUUCAGAGAAGCAUGCUGGGGACCGAUCUCUUUGGAAGCCUUACCUGGAGAUUUUACCCAAGGCCUAUACCUGCCCUGUUUGUUUGGAGCCGGAAGUGGUGAACCUUCUUCCCAAAUCUUUAAAAGCAAAGGCUGAAGAGCAGAGAGCCCAUGUGCAGGAGUUCUUUGCUUCCUCCAGAGACUUUUUCUCUUCUCUGCAGCCUCUGUUUGUGGAGGCUGUUGACAGCAUCUUCAGCUACAGUGCCCUGCUGUGGGCUUGGUGCACCGUCAACACCAGAGCCGUGUACCUGAGGCCCAGGCAGCGGGAAUGCCUUUCUGCAGAGCCGGACACCUGUGCGCUCGCUCCAUACCUGGACCUGCUGAAUCAUAGCCCACGUGUCCAGGUAAAAGCAGCAUUUAAUGAAGAAACUCACUCUUACGAAAUUAGAACGACUUCACGCUGGAGAAAGCAUGAAGAGGUAUUCAUCUGUUACGGCCCUCACGAUAAUCAGCGGCUGUUCCUUGAAUAUGGAUUUGUUUCCGUCCAUAAUCCUUAUGCUUGUGUUUAUGUCUCAAGAGAAAUACUUGUUAAAUAUCUUCCAUCAAGAGAUAAACAGAUGGACAAAAAGAUUUCUAUUCUAAAGGAUCAUGGCUAUAUAGAAAAUUUGACAUUCGGAUGGGAUGGACCAUCUUGGAGGCUACUCACAGCCCUUAAGUUGUUAUGUCUGGAAGCUGAAAAAUUUACAUGCUGGAAAAAAGUACUUCUUGGGGAAGUAAUUUCAGAUACGAAUGAGAAGACAAGUUUGGACAUAGCCCAGAAAAUAUGCUAUUAUUUCAUGGAAGAGACUAAUGCUAUGCUUCAAAAGGUGUCGCAUAUGAAGGAUGAAAAAGAGGCCCUAAUAAAUCAACUAACUUUGGUGGAAUCCUUGUGGACGGAAGAGCUAAAGAUUCUCAGGGCAUCUGCCAAGACCCUGCACAGUUUGCAAACAGCUUUUACCUGAUUUCACCAAAGUGCGUUUGGUCACCUCCUCUGGUGGGGUGUUAGUCACACAUUUUAGACUAAGAAACAGAAGUUAAUUUGAAGAGCGUCAUCAUGGCCUGGGGCGGUGGCCGCCCCCAGGACGUGCAGGAUUUCUGCAGGGGGCAGCACAGGUUCUGGGACUGUGAGGCUGUGAGUGAAGGUGGACAAGCUGUCUGGAUAGCACGUCUAAUGCUCUUCCGAAUAAAGUGCUGAACUGUGAGGAGAGAGGCGGACUGCCAGGGAGCCAGGAGCCAGCUGCGUCCGUGUGUGGUCUGUCACCACGGGGCCUGCUUCUUAUCUGACACAGCAGCUCUCAGAGUCUAGCGGUUGUGCUUUUAAGAUGCUCUGAUACCGUUGGGUUAAGGGGCAGGUUGGCGGUGGGUGGCUUUGGGUGGUGGGUGUGGGGAAGUGUGAGGUAGUCCUGGGUUCCCGCCAGGGUGGCCCAGCCGCCAGCCGUUCCCUGUGUGACUGCACUGAGGUGGGCGUUGAAGAGUCCCCUAGGGGACACAGGGCUUCCAAGAGGAGGGAAUGUCCUCUAAACAUGCUCCUGGCCUCCCAAGGCGGCGCUUGUCUAAUUAUUCACUUGGGAAGAAUGACUGGCUUAGCCAGCGGCCCUUUCUGCUUUGUUCUGGUGGCUGUCCUGGGCAGGCCUUUCAACCUGGGGAGCUGGCCCAUCCGCGGUGGGCCUGUCUGCUUGAUUCUGGGGUUCAGUGUAGGUCAGCUGAUUGCAAACCACGGUGGUGGUUUGGCCUCUGUUCUUACUCUUGAGUUUUGAUCCUGCUCAGACCCUGGGUGGGGAAAAGGGGCGCUUCCUGCACAGCUCUCAGCUGCCUGUGGCCUCGGGACUGCCUGCAUAAGUUAACGCAGGGGCUGCUGGUCCUGUUCAGGCCCAUGCCGGAGACGCUGCGUAGACAGUGUUGCCCAGGGUCCUAUUUACCCUCCCAGGGUUCAUUCUUCCCAAGAACUGAAAUUCCUUUCUCACUGGAGCCCAGCAAAACCAAAUGAACGGGGCCUGCUGGCCUCAGAAGGCAGGCAGAGUUUAAAAUAAAACUUUCUCAUGAUUUCUUGAACAUCUUUCCCUGUUUGUAUAUACAGUUUGUGUUUAUUUUUCAAUAGUUGCAGUAUAUUUCUUUUUUUUAAUAUUCAGUAUAAUGCAGUGUAUUUCAUCAUACAAUGUAUGGAGAGUGGGCAGACUCUUCUGUGGAGGGCCCGGUAGUGACCAUUUGAAGCUUUCUGGACCUGUGGCCUUAGUCCCAGCGAUUCUGCAGAGCAGCUAUCAGCAGCAUGUCAACCACUUGCAAGGCUGGGCUCCCGGGAAACUAUUGACAGUGACAGGUGGUGGGCCGUAAGUUUCCUGACCCCUGUGCUGUGCCAGAAUUUCUUUCUCCUCUUUCCUGUGAAUGCACCUAAAUAGGUUAAUUCCUUUACACCUUUCAAAAUGGACAGCCCCUUGAACAUUAAAAACUUUGCAGACCCUA
This is an RNA transcript of Cercocebus atys (sooty mangabey), 3943 nucleotides long. It is a transcript of the gene named SET domain containing 4, with no coding region annotated. NCBI's taxonomy places the organism in Eukaryota, Metazoa, Chordata, Mammalia, Primates, Cercopithecidae. The record is from RefSeq and is a predicted model, not a curated record. The transcript is spliced from 12 exons.